Molecule: ribosomal RNA, 874 nt
Filed under: uncultured organism
Description: bacterial SSU rRNA
Rfam family: Bacterial small subunit ribosomal RNA
Source: RNAcentral
CGUGUAGAGGGUUGACGGUACCGUACGAAUAAGCAUCGGCUAACUCCGUGCCAGCAGCCGCGGUAAUACGGAGGAUGCAAGCGUUAUCCGGAUUCAUUGGGUUUAAAGGGUGCGCAGGCGGAGAAUUAAGUCAGUGGUGAAAUCCUGCAGCUUAACUGUAGAAUUGUCAUUGAUACUGGUUUUCUUGAAUGCAGUUGAGGUAGGCGGAAUGUGUAAUGUAGCGGUGAAAUGCUUAGAUAUUACCCAGAACACCGAUUGCGAAGGCAGCUUACUAAACUGUGAUUGACGCUGAGGCACGAAAGCGUGGGGAGCGAACAGGAUUAGAUACCCUGGUAGUCCACGCUGUAAACUAUGAUCACUCGUUGUUGGCAAUACAUCGUCAGCGACUGAGCGAAAGCAUUAAGUGAUCCACCUGGGGAGUACGAUCGCAAGAUUGAAACUCAAAGGAAUUGACGGGGGCCCGCACAAGCGGAGGAACAUGUGGUUUAAUUCGAUGAUACGCGAGGAACCUUACCUGGGCUUAAAUGCAUAACGACGGACCGGGAAACUGGUCUUUCUUCGGACGGCAUGCAAGGUGCUGCAUGGCUGUCGUCAGCUCGUGCCGUGAGGUGUCGGGUUAAGUCCCAUAACGAGCGCAACCCUUAUCAUUAGUUGCCAGCGGGUAAUGCCGGGGACUCUAAUGAAACUGCCGGUGUAAACCGAGAGGAAGGUGGGGAUGACGUCAAGUCAGCACGGCCCUUAUGUCCAGGGCUACACACGUGUUACAAUGGUCAGUACAGAGGGAAGCUACCAGGCGACUGGAUGCUAAUCUCAAAAACUGGUCUCAGUUCGGAUCGGAGUCUGCAACUCGACUUCGUGAAGUUGGAUUCGCUAG